ACAAAAGAUUGUGGUUGCCCAAAUUGUCCCAAUUAUAAAGUGUAUGAUCGCUUGGCCACUGCUACCGGCGGACAAGUGUUUCAUAUGGAUAAACCAAAUCUUUCAGAGGUGCUGAACUAUAUUGUUGACUCGGUUAAGAGCAAGAAUUGCCUGAUAAGCCACGACAUUUUACCCAAAAUAAAUGGUCGGGUUAUUACGCACCCAUUUUCAGUUGACUGUAAGAUGAGAGACGUCACACUAUCCCU
Colias croceus (clouded yellow) is the source of this 245-nucleotide long non-coding RNA. RefSeq lists it as uncharacterized. The record is from RefSeq and is a predicted model, not a curated record. The transcript is spliced from 3 exons. NCBI's taxonomy places the organism in Eukaryota, Metazoa, Arthropoda, Insecta, Lepidoptera, Pieridae.